RNAcentral lists this ribosomal RNA (120 nucleotides) under Helianthus annuus (common sunflower). The record is from RNAcentral. Lineage: Eukaryota; Viridiplantae; Streptophyta; Magnoliopsida; Asterales; Asteraceae.
AACUAAAAUCAUACCAGCACUAAUGCACCGGAUCCCAUCAGAACUCCGCAGUUAAGCGUACUUGGGCGAGAGUACUACUAUGAUGGAUGACCCCCUGGGAAGUCCUCAUGUUGCAACCCC